AUUGAACGCUGGCGGCAGGCCUAACACAUGCAAGUCGAGCGGAUGAAGGGAGCUUGCUCCUGGAUUCAGCGGCGGACGGGUGAGUAAUGCCUAGGAAUCUGCCUGGUAGUGGGGGAUAACGUCCGGAAACGGGCGCUAAUACCGCAUACGUCCUGAGGGAGAAAGUGGGGGAUCUUCGGACCUCACGCUAUCAGAUGAGCCUAGGUCGGAUUAGCUAGUUGGUGGGGUAAAAGCCUACCAAGGCGACGAUCCGUAACUGGUCUGAGAGGAUGAUCAGUCACACUGGAACUGAGACACGGUCCAGACUCCUACGGGAGGCAGCAGUGGGGAAUAUUGGACAAUGGGCGAAAGCCUGAUCCAGCCAUGCCGCGUGUGUGAAGAAGGUCUUCGGAUUGUAAAGCACUUUAAGUUGGGAGGAAGGGCAGUAAGUUAAUACCUUGCUGUUUUGACGUUACCAACAGAAUAAGCACCGGCUAACUUCGUG
RNAcentral lists this ribosomal RNA (484 nucleotides) under uncultured bacterium. Its description in RNAcentral is "partial 16S ribosomal RNA". It matches the Rfam family "Bacterial small subunit ribosomal RNA", at positions 30 to 507 of the family's 1533-position model. The record is from RNAcentral.